CGUAGGCAGCGAGCGUUGUUCGGAAUUACUGGGCGUAAAGAGUGUGUAGGCGGUGCUCUAAGUCUGUUGUGAAAUCUCCCGGCUCAACUGGGAGGGUGCGGCGGAAACUGGAGUGCUCGAGGGUGGGAGAGGUAAGCGGAAUUCCUGGUGUAGCGGUGAAAUGCGUAGAUAUCAGGAGGAACACCUGUGGUGUAGACAGCUUACUGGACCACUUCUGACGCUGAGACACGAAAGCGUGGGUAGCAAACAGGAUUAGAUACCCUGGUAGUCCACGCCCUAAACGAUGCAUACUUGGUGUGAGCCAUUCAUUUGGUUCGUGCCGGAGCUAACGCGUUAAGUAUGCCGCCUGGGGAGUACGGUCGCAAGGCUG
This 370-nucleotide ribosomal RNA is filed under the name uncultured organism. RNAcentral describes it as "bacterial SSU rRNA". It matches the Rfam family "Bacterial small subunit ribosomal RNA", at positions 526 to 896 of the family's 1533-position model. The record is from RNAcentral.